RNAcentral lists this ribosomal RNA (450 nucleotides) under uncultured bacterium. RNAcentral's name for it is "partial 16S ribosomal RNA". It matches the Rfam family "Bacterial small subunit ribosomal RNA", at positions 338 to 795 of the family's 1533-position model. The record is from RNAcentral.
CCUACGGGCGGCUGCCGUAAGGAAUAUUGGUCAAUGGACGAAAGUCUGAACCAGCCAUCCCGCGUGCAGGAUGAAAGCCCUAUGGGUUGUAAACUGCUUUUAGCAGAGAAGAAAAGCUUUCAUUAAUGAGAGUCUGACGGUAUCUGCAGAAUAAGCACCGGCUAACUCCGUGCCAGCAGCCGCGGUAAUACGGAGGGUGCGAGCGUUAUCCGGAAUUACUGGGUUGAAGGGGUAGGAUUGCGUCAGUUGAUAAAUCUUGUCGCUUAACGGUAAAAUGGCCAAUGAUACUGGUACUCUUGAAUUGGGUUGAGGUUAGCGGAAUGUGACAUGUAGCGGUGAAAUGCAUAGAUAUGUCAUGGAACACCAAUUGCGAAGGCAGCUAACUGGGCCUUGAUUGACGCUGAGGCACGAAAGCGUGGGUAGCGAACAGGAUUAGAUACCCGGGUAGUC